UCUCCGUAGGUGAACCUGCGGAGGGAUCAUUACAGAGUUCAUGCCCUACCGGGUAGAUCUCCCACCCUAUGUUAUUAUGACUUUGUUGCUUUGGCGGGCCGUUAGGCUCCGGCCCGACUACCGGCCCCGGCUGGUAAGCGCCCGCCAGAGGACCCAAAACCCUGAAUAUUAGUGUCGUCUGAGUACUAUAUAAUAGUUAAAACUUUCAACAACGGAUCUCUUGGUUCUG
Molecule: unclassified non-coding RNA, 229 nt
Filed under: plant metagenome
Description: partial contains small subunit ribosomal RNA, internal transcribed spacer 1, and 5.8S ribosomal RNA
Source: RNAcentral